Molecule: transfer RNA, 86 nt
Filed under: Nematostella vectensis (starlet sea anemone)
Lineage: Eukaryota; Metazoa; Cnidaria; Anthozoa; Actiniaria; Edwardsiidae
Rfam family: tRNA
About the family: Transfer RNA (tRNA) molecules are approximately 80 nucleotides in length. Their secondary structure includes four short double-helical elements and three loops (D, anti-codon, and T loops).
Source: Rfam by way of RNAcentral
CCUUCGAUAGCUCAGUUGGUAGAGCGGGGGACUGUAGAUUUAUAAUUGUGAUCCCUAUGUCGCUGGUUCGAAUCCGGCUCGAGGAU